CCGUUCUCAGUUCGGAUCGGAGUCUGCAACCCGACUCCGUGAAGCUGGAUUCGCUAGUAAUCGCGCAUCAGCCAUGGCGCGGUGAAUACGUUCCCGGGCCUUGUACACACCGCCCGUCAAGCCAUGGAAGCCGGGGGCGCUUGAAGUGCGUUGCCGCAAGGCGCGCCCUAGAGCGAAACCGGUGACUGGGGCUAAGUCGUAACAAGGUACC
Molecule: ribosomal RNA, 211 nt
Filed under: uncultured bacterium
Lineage: Bacteria
Description: partial 16S ribosomal RNA
Rfam family: Bacterial small subunit ribosomal RNA
Source: RNAcentral